Long non-coding RNA from Vitis riparia (riverbank grape), 408 nucleotides. RefSeq lists it as uncharacterized. Lineage: Eukaryota; Viridiplantae; Streptophyta; Magnoliopsida; Vitales; Vitaceae. The transcript has 4 exons. The record is from RefSeq and is a predicted model, not a curated record.
CCAAAGCAGAGAAAAACAUCUUUCAAGAGCUACAAAAGAUGAUUAAAUUACCAGGAAAUCUAAAAAGCACUUGGAUCCAGAGAAUCCUGAAGAAGGGCAAGGCAUUGAACUUCAUGGUCAUAAUUCAAGCAAUAUUGGAGCUCAAGGACACAAAACAUUCCCCUCAAAAUAUGGCAAAUGCCAGAGGUUCAUCAAGCUUCUUGUUUCCCAAGUACUGCUGGUUAUCAUCUCCGUACUGCCAGGUUCAAGUCAGAUAAGGAAGCUAAAAGAGAAAAAGGAGAUGCAUGUGUGGUCUCUUCAGAUCAUGGACAAGCUACUUGAACAUGCUGCAAGGCGUAUAGAUGAAAUAAAUCCCAAAAAUGAUGAGCCAAGCCAACUUUUCAAUUGUUGUUAUUCAGAGUAUGAAUA